GAGGAGGCGGGACUUGAGCGAUCAGCUGCAGAAUGAGCUAGAAGAGCGAGCGGUGUCGGAGAUGUUAUAACUGCUCCUGGAAACGCGUCAAAGGGAUUUGGAGGCUGUUUACCACCAAACGCGAUCUUAUAAAGACGGGAUGUGCUGGUCGUGGCCGCUCGUGUCAGUGCUGGUGCUGUGCUCGCUCCUGUCUGUCGGGACGGUGAGGACGGCGCCCUGUCAGACCUGCCGCAGACUCACUGACCGCUUCAUCAAGGGUUUGGAGCGAACAGCCAAUAAGAACUUUGGAGGAGGGAACACAGCUUGGGAGGAGGAGAAGCUGGCGAAAUAUGCACGCAGUGAAACGCGUCUGUUAGAGAUCGUAGAGGCUGCAUGUGACAAGACUGACUUUGACUGCAACAGGCUGCUGGAGCAGAUAGAGGACCAGGUGGAGACAUGGUGGUUUCACAGACAGCAGGAGGCUCCAGACCUGUUCGACUGGCUGUGCAUUGAGGAGCUCAGACUGUGCUGCCCACCUGGACACUACGGGCCUGAAUGUGCAGGUGCUCAAACACACACA
Molecule: RNA transcript, 559 nt
Organism: Cyprinus carpio (common carp)
Lineage: Eukaryota; Metazoa; Chordata; Actinopteri; Cypriniformes; Cyprinidae
Gene name: cysteine-rich with EGF-like domain protein 2-A
Exons: 5
Source: RefSeq, a predicted model, not a curated record